Molecule: ribosomal RNA, 253 nt
Filed under: uncultured bacterium
Lineage: Bacteria
Description: partial 16S ribosomal RNA
Rfam family: Bacterial small subunit ribosomal RNA
Source: RNAcentral
UACGAAGGGGGCUAGCGUUGCUCGGAAUGACUGGGCGUAAAGGGCGCGUAGGCGGAUUGCACAGUCAGAUGUGAAAUUCCCGGGCUUAACCUGGGGGCUGCAUUUGAUACGUGUGAUCUAGAGUGAGGAAGAGGGUCGUGGAAUUCCCAGUGUAGAGGUGAAAUUCGUAGAUAUCGGGAGGAACACCAGUGGCGAAGGCGGCGACCUGGGCAGAUACUGACGCUGAGGUGCGAAAGCGUGGGGAGCAAACAGG